This 10326-nucleotide long non-coding RNA is filed under the name Zea mays. Its description in RNAcentral is "long non-coding RNA (ZMAY_LNC001778)". The record is from RNAcentral. Lineage: Eukaryota; Viridiplantae; Streptophyta; Magnoliopsida; Poales; Poaceae.
UUCGGCCAAGGCUGAAAUGCUUGCCUAGUUCAUGUUGGAGUUAGCCAACCUGGCUUCGAAGCCAUUUCAAUUCCUUCCUCUGUUUGCUCAGAUCUGUCACUAGGUGGUAGAUCGAUGCUUCAAUUAUGUCGAGGUCGGUUACAACAGAGUUGCGACUAUUUACAAGUCUUCAUCACUCCGGCAAAGUAAUAGUACUCCCUUGCUCAAGAUCUUGCUCACUCUAGCAGCAACACUUCUCUACUCUCUCUUGGCUUAUAACUGCAACAACACAUGAACUACAGAGAAAAACACAAGAAAGGGAGACAAAGUAGAUUUGUAGUGUGUCUACAAUUUGUUGCUACACUUGGGAGCCUUGGACUACUGAAAGAGGACGCCUAAGGGGUCCUUUUAUAGCCUCAAGGAGCAUAGGAGCCGUUGCCUUGUCCAAAUGGAACCUAGAAAACUUCCCUUUCUGUGGGCUCACCAGACCAUUUGGUGAGCCAUCGAACCAUCCACAGUAACGGUUAGUAGAUCUCCUGAUUAGCGCCUUUCCUUAGUUGGGUGGCACCAGACCGUCCGGUGACGUCAGCUAGCCAUUGGGUGCCGAACGAAGGCUAGAAGUAGCCGUUGGAGAAGUGGUCAGUGCAUAUCGGACCAUCCCGUGAAUUUUAUAAAUAAAAUUCUUGAGACCGAGCAGUACAGUUGGGUUGCACGGACCCCGUCAGGUGCAGCCCAGACCAGAGCAAGCUAAGCUCUUUUGAGACAAACUUCUCCAAACGAUCUCAACUCUUUGGAGGACUUUCCUAAGACUUAGACACACAUUUAGAGUAUAAACCAAUUGACUAGGUCCUAGAAAGUUACCUCUUUCCCAUUCUUCUCAUAACUUUUCUGUUUCUCCUCAAACAGAUCCUAGAAUGACACUUUCUCUACAAAUUGAGUUAGAGAACAAACCAAAGUACCAAACAUGUAGUAAAAGGUGUAUGCAACAUAGUUGAAUGUUCAAACCUUGCAUACUUAACAUUUUUCACCGUUAUACCCAUUUUGUUCUGUUUGAGGUCGACGUUGGACUCCAAACCAUCAGGUCGACUUGAUUUGAUCUAGAUUGUCAUCUAUGAGCUCCAACACCCUACAAAGGUCACAUAAAACACAUUCAAACAUAGAAACAACCCAAACUAAAGGUUAAGGUAAACUUAGCUCUUUUGGGUUGCUUCUAGGUUCUGGCUUUGACACUACUCCUGCCUCUAGUGACCUUGUUCACUUCUUGAGCUUGAUCUUGAGCCUUAAGACUUACACCACAUAACCAUAGGUAUUACCUCAUUGGCUGUAAGUCAUGUCCUUAAGUCAUGAUCCUCGAUGCACCAUAUCUCUUCACAACUCGAUCAACCUUGACUUUGCAAGUCUUCUUCUUCACCCCUGGCUUUGGGUACCUCAGCCUUCUUGACCUUCUGUCAUGCACUCGGUACCUCGAAGUUCUUUCUGCCUCCAUCCUUGGCUUGACCAGUUGUCUCCAAGUUAUGCACACCGAGUUUCACAUAAGAAAUGCACAUCCUUCACUUAGAUUGUGAUAUUCACUACCAUAGUCAUCUCGGCCUUUGAACCAUCACACUUGAUCACUUGUGUUGAACCUUGUAAGUUUUGUACUAAGCACCUAUUCAACACUUAGCAACACAUAUCGAUCCUUUAAUUAGGUUGUCAUCCAAACCACCAAAUCCCACAAGGGAGCUUUCAAUCUUGCCCUUUUUGGUGAUUGAUGGCAACACGAUCGAAGCUUACACAAGAUAUGAAAUUAAAGCACAAUUUUGAAUUAUAAGCUAUAGAAUGCCCCCUAAAUAUGUGCUUACAUGGAAAUCUCUACUUUGGCCUCAUAUGCCAAUUACACAUACUUAGGCUAAGUGUGAAGCAUUACUACAUCUUAGCAUUCGUUGGGGUGCAUUGUGUUAGGAAUCAAAUCUUGAUGCGUACGACACACAAAUGCACAUAAUCAGAGUUAAGCACCAUAUAAACACCAAUUUAAAAGAUGUAAUACUAGGAUAUCAACCCAUCACAAUACACCAUAAAAAUACCAAUUAAAACACCAUAUCAAUACAUGAUUAUCUAUUAACAGGAUAAGCAAAUAGCACCAUAAAUUCCAAUUGAUCUACAACACAAAAGCAACUAAAGACGAUGCUACACCAAGAUCAUAUCAACUGUAAGAUUAAGCAUCGAUUAGCAACAAAAACAACAAUAUUGCAUUAUCACCAUAUAAUCAACAGUAAGAGCAUGAUAAGCAUUAUUUACACCUAAUACAUUCUCCCCCUUAAGAUCAAAAGGAAAUCUUGGAAACCCCACCUUAACCAAGGUGAGCUCAUACUCAAUACAAGGUUAAGAUUUGAUCCCUUUAGCACACGAACACCUUCACCCUUAAGAUACACUUCCCUCUCAGGUCGAGAUAAACUUUAAUGCACAAAUUCUCCCCCUUUGACAUCAAACACCAAAACCAUAUAACAAACAAGAACAUAGCUUGAUGUGAAGGGACAUUAGGGUACGAAGCAGGGAAAUGCAUCACACUUACAUUACUCACACUUAAAACUUAAAAAUAUGCAACACAAGCAUCAGAGGGAAUCAAGGUACAAAUACUCAACAUAAAAGUGAUAAUACCUUCUUUUGUACCUUUGUUACAUUUACAAAGUCAUGGUACCCUUUCCAUCCAAAUCAGUGGUUCCCUUUGCCAUAAGAGUUUCCCAUUUGAAGAUUCCAUCCCCAGGGAGCUUCCCCACACUUGUGUCUGAUCCUUUACCCUGAUCUUUCCUUGUUGCUAAGACACUAGACUUAGAACAAGUUAUAGCAUUGUGUCACGUGAUAAACUCCUACUCGAGAGAACACCAAAGGGUACCAAAUGAAAGAUUACUACACAUGUAAACCACUAAUAGGCACCUCACAACUCCAUGAUAUUAAACGAGAAGCAUAUAGGAUCACCAACUAGCAUGGACAAACAACAAUAACUAAUGAGCAAGACCAUUCCUUAAAUAACUCACAACUUUAGAUACCAAUUUACACGAAUUCGUAGAGGUACCCAAGUCCGAAUUGCUCCACAACUUGCUCAACUUCCUUCUUCCACCUUGAGAUUAUAUAAUAUCACUCAAGAAACAGAUAAUCUCAAAGGACACAAGUUAUGUGUGCUCCCCUUAAAGAUUUGCAUCAAGUUUUUGAGUAACUUGUACCUUGCACAUUCUAGCAUUUUGCAUAACUAGAGGGGUGCACCACAUACCUUGGUCUAGACAUAACAAAAUAUCAAUUUUCAUCACGCAUGAAUAUCAAUUGAAUAAAUGAUAGAAUUCAACCAAUAUCUAGUAGAAUCAUAGCAGAGCAUGCCACAAUACAUUAAUAUCCUACUAGGCAAGCUACACACCAGAUGAUCAUUACAACUCAUAUAUCAAUUGAAACUAUAGAUCACCAAAAGCAUCAUGCAAACUUAAUUCUAUGCGUGUCAUCAUCGAAGGGAAAAGAUCACUUAAGCAGCCUAAUUGAAAGAAUCAUCACAUUCCUAAGCAAUCUUAUUGCAAAUUGAUAAGCAUUACCAUCAUGAGCACAAUUUAUGGAAUUACAACAUACCAAGUGAUUUGCAUAGUUCCAUAUUUCAUGCCUUUGUCCUUUUAUCUGAAUAUUAAAAAUCCACUCUUAAGGCAAUAUGAAUUGAGAGCACCUUGAUACCAUGUAACACCCCGGGAUCCACAAACACCCCAGAAUGCUACUAAACUACACAUCUAAUAUUCAUAUAUAAAAUUUCGACAGCAUCUCCUUUGAAAAUUGCAUAAAUGGGGGAAGCAACAAAGUAUAAAUAGAUAUCAUGAUAAGAAAACAUAUAAGACAUUAAUAAUCUGCUAGCAAUGGGAAGACAACCAUAACAACAUGAACUGAAUUAAUCAGUGCACACGACUAGUUAAAAACAAACAUCCUUUGACAAGAAGUUUCUAAUUAAAUCAUGGCUGCGUCUGGGCAGCAUUAUUAUGAGAAUGAAGGUGGAUGUGCUGCUACUUCCCACUCCCCUUGAUGAGCAACAAGCAUCUGCAUUGAGUAAUGCAAGAGUGAGAUGAAACAUCUCAGCAAGCUAAUUGUUCUGACGAGAUAUUUAAACCACAAAUUGAAUUCAUCAACAUUUUAAAAGAGUCACAAUUAAAAAUCAGAAAUGCUUGUAGAUAUAGAACUCAGUAGUCCCACUAUAACCAAUACCAUCUCAUUUCCUCGAACAACCACAAUAGGUUCUAUAACACUUCCCUGCGUCAACAAUACCUGCAAAUAUCACUUCAAUGUAUGCAUAGGAAUGCAAUGUGUAGGUACUCUAUCUUCAUACCUCUGGGGGUAUAAAACCACAUCAUCUGCAAAUAUCACUUCAAUGAAUGCAUAUGAAUGCAAUGCAUAUGUCCUCUGCCUUCAUACCUCUAAGGGUAUGAAGCCGCAUCGUACCCCUUCUCGGGCAACGUACGAUGCUAAGUUGUACCGGUACGGUCGAACCAUAGGUCACGACAAAACUUCAUAUGCAAAUGAGUCAUGCAAUGUAUAUGGCAUGCUACAUUUAUCAAUAAACUUCACUUCCUUCAGAUACAACACAAACCUCAAAUAAUACUUCAUUUACCUUCAGAUACAAUACCAACCUCAAAUAAUACUUCAUUUACCUUCAGGGGUGUGAAUUAAUCUCAUGAGUCAUACUCAAAUCAUAAUCAUCAUCAAUAUAUGAUUGAGCAUCAGUAUAAUGCAAGCAAGUAAAGCAUCACCAUAGAGUCCAAUUAUGAAAGAAUCUGAUACUUCUGAAUAUUAGAGUGUAGGCGAUAGAAAUAACAGGUCAGAACGGAAGCAACCACCGCUACAUUCACUUGCCUUCAUCGAAGAAGAAGAAAUGUACUAGACAUGAUCUGGAGUGUAGCCACCUGCUAGUGGGCAUAAAACUUAGUACAAAUAUUUCACAAACAUUUGCCAUCAAUCAACAAAACACUCCUACACUUGAAACCAAGACCCAGUGGAAAGACUCCCACCCUGAACCACAUGCCAUACAGCAGCAACGCUGUUUGUUAAUUUUGUAUCUUCAAAAUUAAAACAGCGGUGAUAUCAAACAAAUACUCCAGGAGUAUCUACACAAAAUACUCUACAACUUCAGUAUUCAAUAGAUAAUUAAAUUCUGCCAUCUACAAGUUCUAAAACAUCUGACAAGAUAACUGACUGAAUCUGUUUUAGACAGCAGUAUGGUUAACUUUAAAAUUCGAUAUCUCCAAAACUGCUGAACCAAAAAUUAUGAAAUUCUGCUGGAAGUAAGAACUUUUAUCCCUCUACAAAAGUCUCCAUAGUUGGAAGAGCCAAUUCGGCCAUUUACUAGAUGAAACCCACCAGUGAACAGACCCACUCAUUUUUGUCAGGUAAACAGGAACAGCCACAGUAAAACAAACAUAACUGGAGUUUCACAAAUCAUAUGAAUGCACUCUUUAACAAUCUGGAAAGCUUAUAAAAUUAUCUACAACUUCUUUUACCAACCCACAGUUUAAUUCUGUUGAUAAAAUUGCCUAAAUCUUAAGAGAACAGAUUCUGCACAGAAUUAUGAGACUGAAAAACUGCUAUAGUAAAACUGCAAUAACUUUCUGGUCGGAUGUCCGAUUGAGGUGUUCUUCGCGGCCACGGAAAGAUCUACAAAUUAUCUACGACUCAUACAUAGACUUUUUAUUUUUUUGAGGCCACUAAGACCACGGAAAACUGGCAUGAACAGAAACUGUCGAAUCUGCCAUUCUGCAGAAAACUAAAUUCGAGAUCAAAACCUAACCCCACAUCAAAUCCAACCUCUAAUCCUUUAAUUCCCAUGAUCCACAACCUCCAAAAGCCUAUAAUUACAGGGAGGAACAAGGAUCUCAUCCAUACCUAGGGUUUCCCCAAGAAAUCUUCAAGAGGAGAUGGGGAAGAACAUCUCCUUGAUCCUCUCUUCCUCUUCAAUUCAACGUGCCCCUCCUUUUCUCGAUCCUUGCUGCGUAGGGGGAGAUCUUGGGGGAGGAAGCAAUGGAGGAUGGCUGCCAUAGGGGGAGGGGGCGUCCAGCCAAGGGGGAGAAAAAGGGGGUGGCGGCCAAGAGGGGGGGGGGGUGAAGGGAAAAAAGGGGUGGCCACCUAGGGUUUUUGUGGGAGAAAGAAACGACGCCUCAGAUGACUUCUAUCUUUGCAUCCAAUGGCCCACAACCCUUUACCUCAUCCACGCACCAGAGAUUAACUUUUGGUCAACAUUUUUUUUGGGAUAUUACACUCUACCCCCCUUAAAAAGAAUUCAACCUCGAAUUCGGCCACUCCAAGCAAAACACCCAAGGUACCCCAUAUAGCACCACAAUUCAAAACAUGGGUCCAUUAUUGGUCUUAAUUAACACAAGAACUUCUACCUUGGACUAAUUGUCUAAGGAAACUACACGACCUGACAUCAAGCAUGAAACAUGUAAUGAAGCUCAAAGCAUGUCAUAGUUGCAAUCAACACUCCAAUUUCACACCAUCAAAUUUGGAUGCAGCUAUACAUCAACAUCAAUGUCUUAAGACAACACUCUUUUAUGAAGGGGUAAUAUGCACCAAGCACAACCCUUACCAACUUCAACCAUUAAUUUUAAUUAAAUGGUGAAACAUCUACACCCGACGAAUGUAUAAGAAGAUCAAACACCUCACCUUAAAGCACUAUGAAACAAGUAGUUCUAUUGGAACAAAACUCCUAAUCUUCCUAAACCUUAUUCUUGCCAUCAUGAAAAGAUAAUCAUGUAAUCUAACAUUCCUUGCACCCCACCAAAAGGGAGAAAAUCUAUAGAACUAAUGGAGCAAUAAAGCCAAAAGAAGCCAAUAACAUCUUGUGCGGCAUAGUUCAUCGAAGAAAUGCCAAAAACUCUACAUAGAGCACUGAUAGCCCAACAACAACACAAUACUUGCUUAACCCAUGUCACUAUACUUCAUUCAACAUCUCAACUAAGAAAAAUAUCCAACUAGUAAGGAUAACCUACACAUAAUAUAAGUCUUCAUCUACUGUAGUUCAGAAACUUACAUUUCAUUCUAUCAUACGAUGCACUCAAAGUACCAGACAUACAAAGUCAAUAAUAAUAACCCCUAAUCCUUCACACAUUUGACAAACAUAUUAAGCUGAUGUAAACACCACAUGAUCUAGGAAUAGGUGACUAGCCACACCCAACCAACUCUAGGCUAGGCAAGGACUUCCUUCAAACCAAUAGAUAGGUGGUCUAAAAAAAAUGGCUCCACAAGCAUGCAUCGAAAAGGGAACCAUCAGAUCCUCAAUGUAUCAAUACAUAAUCAAUGGAUCAAGAGAAUCAAAGAUUUAUUCUACAAUUAGUAUGACUAACAGGCAACCACUUUAAACCACAUCUAGGCUUUGUGGCAACUAAAACACACAAUAUGAGAGAGACAUGUAAGCCAUUCUGGCUAUGAAAAGACUUCCCCCAAAAAUCCAUAUAAAGUACCAAUAUUCAUUUCUUUCAAAACUGGUUUCUCAACAUAAACAAUCAUUCUUUGCAAUGAUAGUUGGAGCUAUCCACCAACCGCUCAACAACUUAAAUUCAAAUUGAUGAUUACCUUGUACCCCAAAACACGCAAUUCACACUCCUCUUAGAAACAUCCACAAUCAAGCAUAUAUAACAAUAUUAUUGUAAUAAAACUCAACCAUGAAAAACAUGGUGAAAACAACAUAGGCAUACUUGUAUAUCACAAGCAUAAUAACAACUUCAUUCUCACCAAUGACCAGCGAUAUCUACCGCAUUAAUAAAACAAUAUCAAAAUUUCAGAAAUAAAUUAUAUCAAGCAUUAAGCCAUAAACAACUUACCACAUCACCGUAAAGGAAUAGGGAGGGGUGAAACUAUUGUCAUCUGCACUCCAAAGACAUUAAUAUAUAUCAAAGAUAUUUGAACCCAUACCCUUCCUAUAUGUGCAAGUGUGUCAAAUUUAUCUUCAAAUUGCCAAGAAUCUAAAGCCUAUGCUUUGAUACCAACUGUAACACCCCGGGAUCCACAAACACCCCAGAAUGCUACUAAACUACACAUCUAAUAUUCAUAUAUAAAAUUUCGACAGCAUCUCCUUUGAAAAUUGCAUAAAUGGGGGAAGCAACAAAGUAUAAAUAGAUAUCAUGAUAAGAAAACAUAUAAGACAUUAAUAAUCUGCUAGCAAUGGGAAGACAACCAUAACAACAUGAACUGAAUUAAUCAGUGCGCACGACUAGUUAAAAACAAACAUCCUUUGACAAGAAGUUUCUAAUUAAAUCAUGGCUGCGUCUAGGCAGCAUUAUUAUGAGAAUGAAGGUGGAUGUGCUGCUACUUCCCACUCCCCUUGAUGAGCAACAAGCAUCUGCAUUGAGUAAUGCAAGAGUGAGAUGAAACAUCUCAGCAAGCUAAUUGUUCUGACGAGAUAUUUAAACCACAAAUUGAAUUCAUCAACAUUUUAAAAGAGUCACAAUUAAAAAUCAGAAAUGCUUGUAGAUAUAGAACUCAGUAGUCCCACUAUAACCAAUACCAUCUCAUUUCCUCGAACAACCACAAUAGGUUCUAUAACACUUCCCUGCGUCAACAAUACCUGCAAAUAUCACUUCAAUGUAUGCAUAGGAAUGCAAUGUGUAGGUACUCUAUCUUCAUACCUCUGGGGGUAUAAAACCACAUCAUCUGCAAAUAUCACUUCAAUGAAUGCAUAUGAAUGCAAUGCAUAUGUCCUCUGCCUUCAUACCUCUAAGGGUAUGAAGCCGCAUCGUACCCCUUCUCGGGCAACGUACGAUGCUAAGUUGUACCGGUACGGUCGGACCAUAGGUCACGACAAAACUUCAUAUGCAAAUGAGUCAUGCAAUGUAUAUGGCAUGCUACAUUUAUCAAUAAACUUCACUUCCUUCAGAUACAACACAAACCUCAAAUAAUACUUCAUUUACCUUCAGAUACAAUACCAACCUCAAAUAAUACUUCAUUUACCUUCAGGGGUGUGAAUUAAUCUCAUGAGUCAUACUCAAAUCAUAAUCAUCAUCAAUAUAUGAUUGAGCAUCAGUAUAAUGCAAGCAAGUAAAGCAUCACCAUAGAGUCCAAUUAUGAAAGAAUCUGAUACUUCUGAAUAUUAGAGUGUAGGCGAUAGAAAUAACAGGUCAGAACGGAAGCAACCACCGCUACAUUCACUUGCCUUCAUCGAAGAAGAAGAAAUGUACUAGACAUGAUCUGGAGUGUAGCCACCUGCUAGUGGGCAUAAAACUUAGUACAAAUAUUUCACAAACAUUUGCCAUCAAUCAACAAAACACUCCUACACUUGAAACCAAGACCCAGUGGAAAGACUCCCACCCUGAACCACAUGCCAUACAGCAGCAACGCUGUUUGUUAAUUUUGUAUCUUCAAAAUUAAAACAGCGGUGAUAUCAAACAAAUACUCCAGGAGUAUCUACACAAAAUACUCUACAACUUCAGUAUUCAAUAGAUAAUUAAAUUCUGCCAUCUACAAGUUCUAAAACAUCUGACAAGAUAACUGACUGAAUCUGUUUUAGACAGCAGUAUGGUUAACUUUAAAAUUCGAUAUCUCCAAAACUGCUGAACCAAAAAUUAUGAAAUUCUGCUGGAAGUAAGAACUUUUAUCCCUCUACAAAAGUCUCCAUAGUUGGAAGAGCCAAUUCGGCCAUUUACUAGAUGAAACCCACCAGUGAACAGACCCACUCAUUUUUGUCAGGUAAACAGGAACAGCCACAGUAAAACAAACAUAACUGGAGUUUCACAAAUCAUAUGAAUGCACUCUUUAACAAUCUGGAAAGCUUAUAAAAUUAUCUACAACUUCUUUUACCAACCCACAGUUUAAUUCUGUUGAUAAAAUUGCCUAAAUCUUAAGAGAACAGAUUCUGCACAGAAUUAUGAGACUGAAAAACUGCUAUAGUAAAACUGCAAUAACUUUCUGGUAGGAUGUCCGAUUGAGGUGUUCUUCGCGGCCACGGAAAGAUCUACAAAUUAUCUACGACUCAUACAUAGACUUUUUAUUUUUUUGAGGCCACUAAGACUACGGAAAACUGGCAUGAACAGAAACUGUCGAAUCUGCCAUUCUGCAGAAAACUAAAUUCGAGAUCAAAACCUAACCCCACAUCAAAUCCAACCUCUAAUCCUUUAAUUCCCAUGAUCCACAACCUCCAAAAGCCUAUAAUUACAGGGAGGAACAAGGAUCUCAUCCAUACCUAGGGUUUCCCCAAGAAAUCUUCAAGAGAAGAUGGAGAAGAACAUCUCCUUGAUCCUCUCUUCCUCUUCAAUUCAACGUGCCCCUCCUUUUCUCGAUCCUUGCUGCGUAGGGGGAGAUCUUGGGGGAGGAAGCAAUGGAGGAUGGCUGCCAUAGGGGGAGGGGGCGUCCAGCCAAGGG